AUGGUUAAUCUUGCUAGUAGUCAUGCUUGUCUCAAAAAUUAGGCCAUGCAUGUGUAAGUAUAAACUUUUUUGUACUAUGAAACUAUGAAUGGCUCAUUAAAUCAAAAUAGUUUAUUUGAUGGGUACCUUACUACUCAGAUAACCAUAGUAAUUCUAGAGCUAAUACAUGAAAAGAGUCCCGAACUCUUGAAGGGACACUUCCUAGAUUCAAGGCUGAUGUAGACUUCUCUGUAUUCUUAGUGAUUCAUGGUAAAUCAUCAAAUUGUGUAGCCCUUGUGCCAACGAUGCUUCAAUCAAAUUUCUACUCUAUCAAAUUUCAAUGGUAGAAUAGAGGCCUACUAUGGUGGUGAUGGGUAAUGCAGAAUUAGGGUUUGAUUCUAGAGAGGGAGAUUGAGACAAGAUUACCAUAUCCAAUGAAGGUAGUAGGUAUGUAAAUUAUAUGGGGAGCUAGUAACAAUAAAUAAUAAUACUAAACUUUUAAAAUUGGAGCAGAACCUAAGUUUUAGGGCCUUGGGGCUUUGAACAAAGGGAUGGAGCCAAACUCCCAAGCAUGCAAU
Molecule: non-coding RNA, 557 nt
Filed under: Selaginella moellendorffii
Lineage: Eukaryota; Viridiplantae; Streptophyta; Lycopodiopsida; Selaginellales; Selaginellaceae
Description: Eukaryotic small subunit ribosomal RNA
Rfam family: Eukaryotic small subunit ribosomal RNA
Source: Rfam by way of RNAcentral